RNAcentral lists this ribosomal RNA (254 nucleotides) under uncultured bacterium. RNAcentral's name for it is "partial 16S ribosomal RNA". It matches the Rfam family "Bacterial small subunit ribosomal RNA", at positions 524 to 776 of the family's 1533-position model. The record is from RNAcentral.
UACGGGGGGAGCAAGCGUUGUUCGGAUUUACUGGGCGUAAAGGGCGCGUAGGCGGCCACCGCAAGUCGAUUGUGAAAUCUCCGGGCUUAACCCGGAAAGGUCAACCGAUACUGCGGGGCUAGAGUGCAGAAGGGGCAACUGGAAUUCUCGGUGUAGCGGUGAAAUGCGUAGAUAUCGAGAGGAACACCUGCGGCGAAGGCGGGUUGCUGGGCUGAUACUGACGCUGAUGUGCGAAAGCUAGGGGAGCGAACGGG